UCUUAAUUGUUAAAGAAUUCUGACAGCCGGACGAUGACCAUCACCUCUCUUCAUAAGUCGUGAAUCCUGUCUGAGGACCUCGACUACCGCCACCAACCCGGGGGUUGAAUCUACGUGCAUCGCGUCGUAAGCGUAAUUCAUCCGACUGACGACCACUACGACCGUCGAUCCUAGGGUCAUAUUGUAUUUCAUCUCGUCUUAAUCGAAUUCCGACAGCCGGACGAUGACCAUCACCUCUCUUCAUAAGUCGUUAAUCCUGUCAGAGGACCUCGACUACCACCGCCAACCCUAGGGCUGCAUAUACGUGCACGACGUCAUAAUUGCGCUGCACCGCGCCGUGCCGAGCUCAAGAGAUGCGUCCUGGCGCCACGCCGAGAUCCCGGA
Molecule: non-coding RNA, 384 nt
Organism: Zootermopsis nevadensis
Lineage: Eukaryota; Metazoa; Arthropoda; Insecta; Blattodea; Termopsidae
Source: RefSeq, a predicted model, not a curated record